GAUGAACGCUAGCUACAGGCUUAACACAUGCCAGUCGAGGGGAAACGGCAUCGAAAGCUUGCUUUUGAUGGGCGUCGACCGGCGCACGGGUGAGUAACGCGUAUCCAACCUGCCCAUCACUUGGGAAUAACCUUGCGAAAGUAAGACUAAUGCCCAAUGACAUCCCACGAAGGCAUCCGAAUGGGAUUAAAGAUUUAUCGGUGAUGGAUGGGGAUGCGUCUGAUUAGCUUGUUGGCGGGGUGACGGCCCACCAAGGCAACGAUCAGUAGGGGUUCUGAGAGGAAGGUCCCCCACAUUGGAACUGAGACACGGUCCAAACUCCUACGGGAGGCAGCAGUGAGGAAUAUUGGUCAAUGGGCGAGAGCCUGAACCAGCCAAGUAGCGUGCAGGAUGACGGCCCUAUGGGUUGUAAACUGCUUUUAGAAGGGAAUAAAGUGGGUCACGUGUGACUUUUUGCAUGUACCUUAUGAAUAAGGACCGGCUAAUUCCGUG
RNAcentral lists this ribosomal RNA (492 nucleotides) under uncultured bacterium. RNAcentral describes it as "partial 16S ribosomal RNA". It matches the Rfam family "Bacterial small subunit ribosomal RNA", at positions 28 to 507 of the family's 1533-position model. The record is from RNAcentral.